Molecule: long non-coding RNA, 466 nt
Organism: Hypanus sabinus (Atlantic stingray)
Lineage: Eukaryota; Metazoa; Chordata; Chondrichthyes; Myliobatiformes; Dasyatidae
Exons: 4
Source: RefSeq, a predicted model, not a curated record
GGAACUGUCAACUGCAGCAGACGCAGAUACGGUGGGUUUUCCUUGCCUUGAAAGCCCGCCCAAAGCUCCUCGUAUUCAUCCACCAACAGACAGAAACAAAGAAGCAGCAUGGAACUCAUUCAAGAAAAAAUCAAACUCCCAAUGUGUGAAACAGGAACAAAUUGCACGAACGGUAAACAGCAAGUGGACUACACAUAGAAUAUCAAACAUCAAGCCAGGAGUCCAGCACUUGGACAUAUUCCUUGAAGUGCCAUCAUAGAUCUGCUCCCACCAACCUCAUCACCUCCACUGCCACCAUUGUUUGGAUCGAACUAAUGGAAUCAAUUGUCUGUCAAUAAAAAGAUAAUCAAUCCUGGAAUACGUAUGAUGGACAUGGGGAAGAAAACGAAUACUCCUUACCUAUUUGAUGUAACAAACGCCAGAUAUCAACAAUAUCACAUUUCAUUAGAAAAGAUUGAAUAAACAA